GUAAAUAGUAGGAAGAUAAAAUCUCAUAGAGCAAAGGAAAGCUAGCUAGGUAGAGUACUACAUAGGCAUGCAAUGAAGGUAUAACAAUGAAAAGGAAAUAAUAAUAAUAAUAAUAAUAAUAACAAAAUAGAAGUGGGCUAUAUAAAUUAACUAAUUAAUAAUCAACACAUAUACAUAUAGGUAUCUAGCUAGGUAGCUAUAUGUUAAAACAAAAUAUGUGGGGGAGAGAAAUAAGAGACGAAAAAAGAAGGGUAAGAGAGUAGGUAGUACUAUAUUUAUAAGUAUAUAAAAACAAACUACAAUGAUGUACAUAUAUAUUUUAUAUAUAGAGAGUGGGGAAUGGCACCAUAUAAAUGUGACUGUGAAGUUUUGAUUCCUUGGCAUAUAAGAUAUAGUUCUGUUGGGUUACUGUACUCAGCAUUGAAUGAGGGAGGCCAUGAAAGUGGCUGAACCAAUGGGCUAGCAUAGUUUCUCAAAUAUCCCUAAAUCUCAUCCCCCAUCCAUUUCCAGGUCCAGAUUUACAUUUAUCUCUGUCCCAUUGUAACUUUUGGAACAUGGAAUGUUGAGUGUACUAGGGGACUCCUCAUUCGAAAAAGAAGAGAAAUAUAAUAAAGCCAAGGAAAUGGCAUGCAUACCAAACCACCACCAUCAUCACCAUCACAUAUGUAAUAUAUAUAUAUAAUAACCCUAAUAAAACUAUAAGAUGAGAAUUAAAGAAGAGAAAAAACACAAAGUCUAAAUGGAUAAUGUGGAUGUGUGAAAAAGAAGGGUGUAGAGUAGUGUGUCACGGGAAUUUGGUGUGUCAUUAACAUUAUUAACAGUAAAAAAGAAAAUAUGAAAGUGGUCCAUGCAAGUCUAUUUAGGAGUGGGCUCGUGUAGAUUGCACGCGUCUUAGAGUUUGGCAAGAGAGAGACGAAAACUACUUCUCUUCUUAUAAUUUGCUUCUUUUAUUGUCCUCAUUCAUUACGCCUCUUAAACCCUUAAACCUACUGCUUCUCUCUUCUCUAUAGAGUGGGCUCUAUACACACAUACACACACCCUCUCUCUCUCUCUCUAUGAAUAUUUAUAUACAUAUAAUAUGUUCAGAGCUGAUUUAAAAGAA
Cannabis sativa is the source of this 1102-nucleotide long non-coding RNA. RefSeq lists it as uncharacterized. Lineage: Eukaryota; Viridiplantae; Streptophyta; Magnoliopsida; Rosales; Cannabaceae. The transcript is spliced from 2 exons. The record is from RefSeq and is a predicted model, not a curated record.